GCCGGUGUAGCCCAAUUGGCAGAGGCGGAUGACUCAAAAUCAUCUCAGUAAGGGUUCGAGUCCCUUCACCGGUA
This 74-nucleotide transfer RNA is filed under the name Bifidobacterium choerinum. RNAcentral describes it as "tRNA-Leu". It matches the Rfam family "tRNA". Rfam says of the family: Transfer RNA (tRNA) molecules are approximately 80 nucleotides in length. Their secondary structure includes four short double-helical elements and three loops (D, anti-codon, and T loops). Lineage: Bacteria; Bacillati; Actinomycetota; Actinomycetes; Bifidobacteriales; Bifidobacteriaceae. The record is from RNAcentral.